This 2839-nucleotide ribosomal RNA is filed under the name Enterobacter hormaechei. RNAcentral describes it as "23S ribosomal RNA". It matches the Rfam family "Bacterial large subunit ribosomal RNA". The record is from RNAcentral. Lineage: Bacteria; Pseudomonadati; Pseudomonadota; Gammaproteobacteria; Enterobacterales; Enterobacteriaceae.
GGUCAAGCUACAAAGAGCGCAAGGGGAAUGCCUUGGCACUGAGAGCCGAUGAAGGACGCGACUAACUGCGAUAAGCUAUGGGGAGCCGUAAGUGGGCAUUGAUCCAUAGAUUUCCGAAUGGAGCAAUCCGGCUGGAGUCAUGUCCAGUCACUGUAUGAUGAAUACAUAGUCAUACAGGGGGAACCGCCUGAACUGAAACAUCUAAGUAGGGCGAGGAAAAGACAUCAACAGAGAUUCCGCUAGUAGUGGCGAGCGAACGCGGAAGAGGCCAAACCGGGGGUAGCAAUACCCUCGGGGUUCGGACAGCAACAUGUACGACAAGGGAUAGCAGAAUGGCAUGGGAAGGCCAACGAAACAGUGUGAAAGUCACGUAUGCGAAAUCCCCAGUCGGCUAGCUGUAUCCAGAGUACCGCCGGACACGUGAAACCCGGUGGGAACAUGGGGGGACCACCCUCCAAGCCUAAAUACUACUCAGUGACCGAUAGCGAAAAGUACUGUGAAGGAAAGGUGAAAAGAACCCCGGGAGGGGAGUGAAAUAGAACCUGAAACCUUGUGCUUACAAGCACCGAGAGCCCGUCAAUGGGUGAUCGGGUACCUAUUGUAGAAUGGUCCGGCGAGUGAGUAUAACUGGCAAGGUUAAGGACUUAAGGUCUGGAGCCGUAGCGAAAGCGAGUCUGAAUAGGGCGCAUGAAGUCAGUUGUAUUCGACCCGAAACCGGGUGACCUACCCAUGUCCAGGUUGAAGUGGAGGUAAAACUCCAUGGAGGACCGAACCGACUCCCGUUGAAAUGGUAGCGGAUGAGGUGUGGGUAGCGGAGAAAUUCCAAUCGAACCCGGAGAUAGCUGGUUCUCUCCGAAAUAGCUUUAGGGCUAGCCUUGUAUUAGAUUACUGGAGGUAAAGCACUGAAUGGGCUAGGGGCCGAAAGGUUACUGAACCCUAUCAAACUAAGAAUGCCAGAUAAUUGAUGUACGGGAGUCAGACAGUGUGAGAUAAGUUUCAUUGUCAAAAGGGAAAGAGCCCAGACCCACAGCUAAGGUCCCUAAAUACAGUUAAGUGGAAAAGGAUGUGGGGGUGCACAGACAACCAGGAUGUUGGCUUAGAAGCAGCCAUUCAUUAAAAGAGUGCGUAAUAGCUCACUGGUCGAGUGCCCCUGCGCCGAAAAUUUAACGGGGCUAAAUUGUAUACCGAAGCUUGGGAUAGCACCUUUAUGGUGUUAUGGUAGGAGAGCGUUGUGUAAGGGGUGAAGUCAGAGCGUGAGCGCUGGUGGACUUUACACAAGUGAGAAUGCCGGAAUGAGUAGCGAGAAAUAUGUGAGAAUCAUAUUGGCCGAAAGUCUAAGGUUUUUGGAGGAAGGUUCGUCCGCUCCAAGUAAGCCGGGAGCUAAGGUGAGGCCGAAAGGCGUAGCCGAUGCACAUACGGUGGAUAUUCCGUAGCCGCCAAAAGAUUUAAGUAAGAGGACACCUUGAAAGGGCAUAACCCAGGCGUUGGUUGACCUGGGCGUAAGGGACCGAAAUUAGAGUAGGGAAGUAUGCUUGGACGAGGGCGAGAAAAGUCUUAUGUAUAUCUGAGGCGCCCGUACCGCAAACCGACACAGGUAGACAGGAAGAGAAUUCUAAGGCCAACGGGAGAAGGGUAGUUAAGGAACUCGGCAAAUUGACCCCGUAACUUAGGGAAAAGGGGUGCCACAGCAAUGUGGCCGCAGAGAAUAGGCCCAGGCAACUGUUUAGCAAAAACACAGGUUUCUGCCAAAUCGAAAGAUGAAGUAUAGGAGCUGACACCUGCCCGGUGCUGGAAGGUUAAGAGGAGAUGUGCAAGCAUUGAAUUGAAGCCCCAGUAAACGGCGGCCGUAACUAUAACGGUCCUAAGGUAGCGAAAUUCCUUGUCGGGUAAGUUCCGACCCGCACGAAUGGUGUAAUGAUCUGGGCACUGUCUCAAUUACCCGCCCGGCGAAAUUGUAGUACCGGUGAAGAUGCCGGUUACCCGCGACAAGACGGAAAGACCCCAUGGAGCUUUACUGCAGCUUAAUAUUGGGUUUUGAUCAUUUAUGUACAGGAUAGGCGGGAGACUAGGAAACCGUGGCGCCAGCCGCGGCGGAGUCAACCUUGGGAUACCGCUCUUAAGUGGUUGAAAUUCUAACCUGCGGCCGUGAAUCCGGCCGGGGGACAUUGUUAGGCGGGCAGUUUGACUGGGGCGGUCGCCUCCUAAAAGGUAACGGAGGCGCUCAAAGGUUAGCUCAGCACGGACGGAAACCGUGCCUUAGAGUGUAAACGCGUAAGCUAGCCUAACUGCGAGGAUGACAAUCCGAGCAGUAACGAAAGUUGGAGUUAGUGAUCCGGCGGUAUGAGAGUGGAAUUGCCGUCGCUCAACGGAUAAAAGCUACCCUGGGGAUAACAGGCUGAUCUCCCCCAAGAGUCCACAUCGACGGGGAGGUUUGGCACCUCGAUGUCGGCUCAUCACAUCCUGGGGCUGUAUUCGGUCCCAAGGGUUCGGCUGUUCGCCGAUUAAAGUGGUACGCGAGCUGGGUUCAGAACGUCGUGAGACAGUUCGGUCCCUAUCUGUCGUGGGCGCAGGAUAUUUGAGGAGAGCUGUCCUUAGUACGAGAGGACCGGGAUGGACGCACCUCUGGCGCACCAGUUGUUCCGCCAGGAGCACAGCUGGGCAGCUAAGUGCGGAUCGGAUAAACGCUGAAAGCAUCUAAGCGUGAAGCCGACUCCAAGAUAAGAUAUCCCAUAGCAUAAGCUAGUAAGACCCCUUGAAGACUACAAGGUUGAUAGGCUGCGUGUGUAAGUGUAGUAAUGCAUUGAGCUUGGCAGUACUAAUCGGUCGAGGGCUUGACCAU